Molecule: non-coding RNA, 81 nt
Filed under: uncultured Alloprevotella sp.
Lineage: Bacteria; Pseudomonadati; Bacteroidota; Bacteroidia; Bacteroidales; Prevotellaceae
Description: TPP riboswitch (THI element)
Rfam family: TPP riboswitch aptamer (THI element)
About the family: Vitamin B(1) in its active form thiamin pyrophosphate (TPP) is an essential coenzyme that is synthesised by coupling of pyrimidine and thiazole moieties in bacteria. The previously detected thiamin-regulatory element, thi box was extended, resulting in a new, highly conserved RNA secondary structure, the THI element, which is widely distributed in eubacteria and also occurs in some archaea.
Source: RNAcentral
GCUAAGGGGUGCACGUCCUGUUGGCGUGCUGAGAUCAUACCCUCUGAACCUGUACCGGACAAUGCCGGCGAAGGGAUAGCG